This 267-nucleotide ribosomal RNA is filed under the name Hylodes nasus (Santa Catarina tree toad). RNAcentral describes it as "partial 16S ribosomal RNA". It matches the Rfam family "Bacterial large subunit ribosomal RNA", at positions 2505 to 2831 of the family's 2925-position model. Lineage: Eukaryota; Metazoa; Chordata; Amphibia; Anura; Hylodidae. The record is from RNAcentral.
UCGACAAGUGGGCUUACGACCUCGAUGUUGGAUCAGGGUAUCCCAGUGGUGUAGCCGCUACUAAAGGUUCGUUUGUUCAACGAUUAAAACCCUACGUGAUCUGAGUUCAGACCGGAGUAAUCCAGGUCAGUUUCUAUCUAUAAGGGAUUUUUUCUAGUACGAAAGGACCGAAAAAACAUGGCCCAUAUUGCACACAAGCCAUCACUAUUAGUUUAUGUUAAAAACUUAAUUAAUAAAUAACCCACACUCAGGCUCAAAAGCAGAGCA